RNAcentral lists this ribosomal RNA (338 nucleotides) under uncultured bacterium. RNAcentral's name for it is "bacterial SSU rRNA". It matches the Rfam family "Bacterial small subunit ribosomal RNA", at positions 1 to 334 of the family's 1533-position model. The record is from RNAcentral.
GUGAGUAGUUCAGAGUUUGAUCCUGGCUCAGGAUGAACGCUGGCGGCGUGCAUAACACAUUCAAGUCGAACGGACAAGGGGACUUCGGUCCCUGCGUUAGUGGCGGACGGGUGAGUAACGCGUGAGCAACCUGCCCCUGUGUGUGGAAUAACGUUUGGAAACGAACGCUAAUACCGCAUAAUGCACGGGAAUCGCAUGUUUUCCAUGCCAAAGAUUUAUUGCACAGGGAUGGGCUCGCGUCCGAUUAGAUAGUUGGUGAGGUAACGGCCCACCAAGUCGACGAUCGGUAGCCGGACUGAGAGGUUGAACGGCCACAUUGGAACUGAGAAACGGUCCAG